This 68-nucleotide transfer RNA is filed under the name Centropyge nox (midnight angelfish). Its description in RNAcentral is "tRNA-Phe". It matches the Rfam family "tRNA". From Rfam's summary of the family: Transfer RNA (tRNA) molecules are approximately 80 nucleotides in length. Their secondary structure includes four short double-helical elements and three loops (D, anti-codon, and T loops). Further hydrogen bonds mediate the characteristic L-shaped molecular structure. tRNAs have two regions of fundamental functional importance: the anti-codon, which is responsible for specific mRNA codon recognition, and the 3' end, to which the tRNAs corresponding amino acid is attached (by aminoacyl-tRNA synthetases). tRNAs cope with the degeneracy of the genetic code in two manners: having more than one tRNA (with a specific anti-codon) for a particular amino acid; and 'wobble' base-pairing, i.e. permitting non-standard base-pairing at the 3rd anti-codon position. The record is from RNAcentral. Lineage: Eukaryota; Metazoa; Chordata; Actinopteri; Pomacanthidae.
GCCGGCGUAGCUUAAUUAAAGCAUAACACUGAAGAUGUUAAGAUGGGCCCUAAGAAGCUCCACUGGCA